Molecule: long non-coding RNA, 804 nt
Organism: Ahaetulla prasina
Lineage: Eukaryota; Metazoa; Chordata; Lepidosauria; Squamata; Colubridae
Exons: 3
Source: RefSeq, a predicted model, not a curated record
UGGGGAUGCCUCCACUUUGCAAAAUGCCCCACUGAGAGAAGAGAAGAAUCAUAUACAGGGAUGAGUUGACAGCUCUUCAGGGUAGAGGCUGGAUUCCUUUGUACAGCUGCAUCCCCGCUAAUGAUAAAUGAGUAAUGUUUGAUAGCUGACUCCUUUGCCUGACAGCUACAGUUGUGGCCAGAGGGCCAGGACAGCCUUUAGACUUCUGUUCAAAAUGAGUUAAACAUAUUAGGUAUUAUGAAGGCACAGAAGCCCUCCGAGAAGGAGUGCGGAAAUGAGUUAUCAAGGUGCUGGUGAGGAAUAAAAGCAACCAAUCAACCAAGAGAAAUCUUCCUUUGAAAGAGACAUAAACAAGAAGUAAAGGAAGAGAAAGAGAUAACAAGCAAGUAUCUGAGAAAAGAAAGAACAUGAAACAUCCAUUGGUUUUGCAUUAUGAAAACAUCAGCUGACUUCAGACAAACAUCCCCUCCUAUCAGUUUCUGUUACUUUCUAUUGGAGAACUGAUGAGAGUCCUGACCAACUUCCAGAUUUUUUUUAAUACACCUGGUUUUAAGGAACAACAACAACAAAAAGUAAAGCUAUCUGAAAUAUCUCUAAGACUUGGUAUAUUUUGUCGUCACUACCCCGCUGAGUUUGAUAGGUGAAUAAACCUAAGCAUGUAUAUAAGUAUGAGAACUUCCAUGAACUUCUGCCAAAAGUUAAUGUAAAUGUUUCUGAAAAUGAGAAACAUCUUAAUAAGCACCAGAGGAAGUCCCCCACUUCUCUCAACAUUUCAGUAAUGUCAAGAAAGGAUAUAAGUAUGAU